Mytilus californianus (California mussel) is the source of this 6164-nucleotide RNA transcript. It is a transcript of the gene named DNA damage-regulated autophagy modulator protein 2-like, with no coding region annotated. The record is from RefSeq and is a predicted model, not a curated record. The transcript is spliced from 8 exons. NCBI's taxonomy places the organism in Eukaryota, Metazoa, Mollusca, Bivalvia, Mytilida, Mytilidae.
AUAAUUUCAUUCACAUGACUAUGAAUCUAACAUUUUGUUCCCAUGGUUUAUGAAUGAGAGCUAGUCAUUGAUAUUUUUAUCCUCAGAUAAGAAAUUUUUAAACUAAUAAAACUUUCCAAUAAAAUUUAUACUUUUACAACUGUGAGCCAAGUUGUGCAUCUUAACAAAAUUUGGAGCUUGUCAAUACCUCACACUUUAGACAGUUAUUAACUAAGUGGAGUUAAAGACAGACCUGCAGGAAGAAACUGAAUCCUACAUCUGACCAUGUGUUUUAGAGGUCUGAGUUAUUUGCCAAUUUUGUUGGUAUUGACAUCCUUUGCCACAUUUAUUGUGUCAUAUAUCAUUGCUAUUGUAAGGCAUGAUGUAUCUCCGUAUUUUCCUUACAUAAGUGACACUGGUACCAAACCACCAGAAAGCUGUAUUUUUGGGCAGUUCCUGAAUAUAUCAGCUGCAUUAGCCAUUGCUACUAUGUAUGUUAGAUAUAAGCUGGUAUCACAGAUCUGUGUUGGGGAAGAUAAAAAACUUGUCUGUUUAAACAAAGCUGGUCUGGUUCUUGGUAUUUUCUCUUCACUGGGACUAAGUAUGGUUGCUAACUUCCAGGAGACAAAUGUAGAGCCAGCACAUGUGACAGGUGCAGCCCUGGUCCUUGGAGUUGGUGUAAUUUAUGCCUUUGUUCAGACCUCUUUAUCAUACCGCAUGAACCCUGACUACAAUGGACUGAAGAUCUGUAGAAUCAGAUUAGCUAUCUCAUGUAUAGCAUUAACAGCUAUGAUCAUAACAUUUGUCUCAGCCACUGUGUCCAGAAUACAAGUACAUGGACACAUAGAUAAAACAAAAUGGAAGCCUGAAAAUGGGGGAUUUACAGCACACAUAAUCAGCACUAUAUCAGAAUGGGUGACAGCUGUAACUUUUCUCCUGUUUUUCUUCACGUUUGUCAGAGACUUCCAGAAAGUAAAGCUUGGAAUCGUAGCCACAGUUCUAGUCAGACAUUUAGAUGUAGAACCUGUAGAAGAUAUCAGUGAACAGGUGGAUGAAAGGAGACCUCUGUUGUCUUGAUGUACAGAGGGAGAAGUACUAACACUGAUUUGUGAUCAAGUGGCAUUGCUUUACAGACUCGAGUCAAAACAAAACAUACCCAUUUUAUGUUGGUUAUGGGUAUUAUGGAACAAUGACAUUAAGUCUUUGAUCUACAAGAUUGUGUGUCUUUAUGCAGCUUUAUGACAGUUAUAACUUGCAUGCUUCCUUGUUGUGUGUUUCCUAAUGUCAUUAGUGCAGAGGUGUCUCAAAUUUUACCUCUCUAAGAGAUGGCUUAAUAUAGUUUUAUUUUCUCGAUUGCAACAAAAGUCGCAAAAUGCUAUAGAGUGAUUACAAUCUAUGGUGGAGACUUCAUAAACUAUUUGUAUAAAGCUUUAUAUAUCAGAAGGUAGAAUACCUGGAUGCUUCAUACUUUGUAUGUAGAUGUUUUUUGUUACACAGUUUCAGUCUGUCAUAAGUUCAUUAUCCUUGACCUCAUUUUCAUGGUUCAGCAACUCCUUGAAAAAAAGUUAUAGUUAUUUUUUUGUCAUGUGAAAUUUUCACUUAUUAUGAGUAUUAGGAUACCAAUAUUUAGUAUAUGGGUUACUUGCAAGGUCUGUAUGUCUGUCAGAUAGGGUUCACCUGACCUAAACUUCAUUUCAUGGAUCAGUGAUCAAGCUGUUAAGUUUUCAUGGUCAAGUCAGUAUCUCAGAUACCAUCAGCAAUAGGUUGACUACAUUUGGUGUAUGGUAUGAGUGUAAUGUGUACAUUUCUGUCUGGCAGGUUCCAUCUGACCUUGACCUUUUUUCAUGGUUCAUUGGACAAUUUUAAGUUUUUGUUGUUUGGUCUAUUUCUCAGAUACUAUAAGCAAUAGAGCCAGUAUAUUUGGUGUAUUGAAUAAUUGUAAGGUGUACAUAUCUAUCUGGCAGGUUUUAUCUGACCUUGAACUUUAUUGAUAAAAGUUAAGUUUUUCAUGGUUUUGUCAGUUUAAUUGAUUACUAUAAGUAAAACUAUAUUUUGUGUAUAGAAUGAUUGUAUGGUGCAUGUGAUCCCACGAAAAAGAUCCUUUUUAUGGGAUAAGUAUUCAUUCCCAUGCACAUGCAAUUAGGUUUAAUUUUAUUUUUUUCUAUAUUAUAUCAAAGGAGACAUAUCUCACUAUUAACUGUUAAACAUGUAUUAUCUAUCCUGAUUCGUGAUAUGAUGCAGAUUAUGUUUCUCUUGGUUUUAUCAAGUUUUAUUGAUUGUAUCUGUAUUUAUUUUGUAGGUGUAAUACCUGUGAUUUACCUUUCAUUAUUGGUGCAUUAUAUAAUUAUUGCGUUUUUGAAUGUUAAUGCUAGUCUUUUUAAAAAUGUGUUUUCUUGUGAAAUUAAAUUGCAAUGCUAGUCUUUUACUGAUGUUUUUUCUUGUGUUAUUGAAUCCUAAUGGUAGUCUUUUUAGUCUUCCAUUCUCUAUUCUAUUUUUAAACUACCUUGGCUAGAAGGUCAAACAAUUGCCAUUUUCAUUGUUUAUAUUAUUAAUCAUAUCAUGAACAUGCAGGAAACAGUUUAUCACAAAUUUCUUCUCGCCUUGAUGGAGUGAAAAAUCGAGACAUAGGUAUGCUGUUUCCGGCAGCGGCGGAGAUGGCGUCAACAAUGUAUUAAUUUGUGAUUAGGUCAGUUCAUGGGAAACCACUAGUGGUAGGUCAAUGAUAUUUGGUAUGCAGUUGUAUUAGCAUUGGCACAUUUCAUUUCCAUAGAGAUUAUUUGGACCGGCCCCCUCAGUCAUGGUCUAUUGACUUUGAAACAUUUGCUUAGUUUACAUGUUUGUGAUUAGGGCAGUUUAUGGGGACCCACUAGUCGCAGGUCAAUGAUAUUUGAUAUGCAGUUAUAUUAGCACAUCUCAUUUCCAUGGAGAUUAUUUGGCCCUGUACCUUCAUUCAUGUUUCAUUGACUUUGAAUAUUUUGCAUAACUUACAUGUUAAAGUAUUGCAAUUUUUAUUUCAACUUUUGCAUUUAUACUAUCAAAAUAACAAAGAGGCAAGACAUAUCUCUGUGUUAACAGUUUAUUGAAUGUAACAUACCUGUCCAGGUUUAAAAGCGAGACAUGUCUCUGUGUUAACAGUGUAUUGAAUGUAACAUACCUGUCAAGGUUUAAAGGUGAGACAUGUCUCUGUGUUAACAGUUUAUUGAAUAUAACGUACCUGUCAAGGUUUAAAGGCGAGACAUAUCUCUGUGUUAACACUAUAUAUAUGACAGUUUAUUGAAUGUAACAUACCUGUCAAGGUUUAAAGGUGAGACAUGUCUCUGUGUUAACAGUUUAUUGAAUAUAACGUACCUGUCAAGGUUUAAAGGCGAGACAUAACUCUGUGUUAACACUAUAUAUAUAACAGUCUAUUGAAUGUAACAUACCUGUCAAGGUUUUUAAUUGUGUAAAGAAAUAAUGUGAAUUAUUGUAGUUUAUUUAAACCAUAAGUCUGCUUUAAUUUAUUUCAUGUUCAUGACUUAGUCUUCCUCUUAUGAUUUUUAUACGACCGCAAACAAAUUUUUGUGGUCGUAUAUUGGUAUGACGUUGGCGUCGUCGUCGUCGUCGUCGUCGUCGUCCGGCGUCGUCCGGCGUCGUCCGAAGACACAUUGGUUUUCGCACUCUAACUUUAGUUUAAGUGAAUAGAUCUUUAUGAAAUUUUACCACAAGGUUCAAUACCACAAAAGGAAGGUUGGGAUUGAUUUUGGGGGUUAUGGUAAUAACAGUAAAGGAAUUAGGGGCCAAAAAGGGGCCAAAAAUAAGCAUUUUUGUAACUUCCAGACAUAACUUGUGUGUUAGUGUAUGGAUCUCUCUGACAUUGUACCACAAGGUUCCAUAUCACUAAAGGAAUGCUGGGAUUGAUUUUGGGGGUAAUUGCCUCAAAAUUUUAGGAAUUAGGGGCCAAAAAAGGGGCAAAAAACAAGCAUUUUUCUAGUUUCAUGACAAUAACUUGUGUGUAAGUGUAUGGAUCUUUCUGAAAUUGUACUACAAGGUUCCAUAUCAUAAAGGGAAAGCUGGGUUUGAGUUUGGGGGUAAUUGCCCUAAACGUUUAGGAAUUUGGGGCCAAAAAGGGGCCAAAAAACACAUUUUUUUCUAGUUUCCAGACAAUAACUUGUGUUCAAGUGUAUGGAUCUCUCUGAAAUUGUACUGCAAGGUACCAUACCACAAAGGGAAGGCUGGGAUUGAGUUUGGGGGUGAUGAAUCAUAAUGGGGGUUCAAAAAAUUUUGGGGGGGGAUUUAUUUUUUUUUUCUUUUUUUUUCUUUUUUUCCUUUUUUGUUUCUUUUAAAAUUUUCCAUUUUAAGUUGGUUAUUUCUGAUUUAUAUUUAAAAUCAAAUAAUAAUGAUAUGGUAGGAGAUACACACCAAACAGGAUGUGUAAAUUAUUAUAUAAUAAGUAUUGUGCAAUAGCAAGAAAUUUUCAAUUGCACAGUAUUGCACAAUAGCAAGAAAUCUUCAAUUGCACAGUAUUGCGCAAUAGCAAGAAAUCUUCAAUUGCACAGUAUUGCGCAAUAGCAAGAAAUAUCCAAUAGCACAAUAUUGCGCAAUAGCAAGAAAAUGUCAAUUGUACAGUAUUGCGCAAUAGCAAGAAAUAUUUAAUAGCACAGGAUUGUGCAAAAGAAGAUACUUCCUAUAAAUUGCUUAUUUCUUGACCAAUUUCAAUGGGGUUUUAUUCUUGAUUUCAUGGGGUUCUUUAAUAUGCUGAAUCUAACCGUGUAUUUAGUUUUUGGAUUUUGGGCCCCGUUUUUAAAUUGGUCCACAUUGAGGUCCAAAGGGUCCAAAAUUAAACUUUGUUUGAUUUCAUCAAAAAUUGAAUUAUUGGGGUUCUUUGAUAUGCCGAAUCUAACUGUGUAUUUAGAUUCUUAAAUUUUGGUUCCGUUUUCAAAUUGGUCUACAUUAAGGUCCAAAGGGUCCAAAAUUAAACUUAGUUUGAUUUUAACAAAAAUUGAAUUCUUAGGGUUCUUUGAUAUGCUGAAUCUAAACAUGUAUUUAGAUUUUUGAUUAUGGGCCCAGUUUUCAAGUUGGUCCAAAUCGGGGUCCAAAAUUAAACUUUGUUUGAUUUCAACAAAAAUUGAAUAUAUGGGGUUCUUUGAUAUGCUGAAUCUAACCAUGUAUUUAGAUUUUUGAUUUUUGGGCCCCGUUAUCAACUUUGUCCACAUUGAGGUCAAAAGGGUCCAAAAUUAAACUUUGUUUGAUUUCAUCAAAAAUUGAAUUAUUGGGGUUCUUUGAUAUGCCGAAUCUAACCGUGUAUUUAGAUUCUUAAUUUUUGGUUCCGUUUUCAAAUUGGUCUACAUUAAGGUCCAAAGGGUCCAAAAUUAAACUUAGUUUGAUUUUAACAAAAAUUGAAUUCUUAGGGUUCUUUGAUAUGCUGAAUCUAAACAUGUAUUUAGAUUUUUGAUUAUGGGCCCAGUUUUCAAGUUGGUCCAAAUCGGGGUCCAAAAUUAAACUUUGUUUGAUUUCAACAAAAAUUGAAUAUAUGGGGUUCUUUGAUAUGCUGAAUCUAACCAUGUAUUUAGAUUUUUAAUUUUUGGGCCCCGUUAUCAACUUUGUCCACAUUGAGGUCAAAAGGGUCCAAAAUUAAACUUUGUUUGAUUUCAUCAAAAAUUGAAUUCUUGGGGUUCUUUGAUAUGCUGAAUCUAACCAUGUAUUUAGAUUUUGGAUAUUGGACCAUAAUAGGUGAAUGUCCAAUUUAAAAUUUUUAAGUUCUUAGACCACAUUCAAUCUGUGUUAGAAACCUAUGCUGUGUCAAAUAUUUAAUCACAAUCCAAAUCCAAAGCUGUAUCAAGCUUGAAUGUUGUGUCCAUACUUCCCCCAACUGUUCAGGGUUCGACCUCUGCGGUCGUAUCAAGCUGCGCCCUGCGGAGCAUUUUAUUGUUAUAUCAUUUAAUAAAGAUCACGUUUAAUUUAUUUUAUUUGCAUAUUAUGCAUGUUAAUAGAAGUAUUAACCAGUCAAGUUUCUGCUUUUAUUUUAAUCAGAAUAAAAUCUCAUUUUGUCUUUCAUUUUUUAAAUCAUUAUUUGGUUUGUUACAUGAGAUGUUUACUUGUAUUUAGCUAAAUAUAUCAAAUUUGAUUUUAUUCAUUUUACAUAAGGAUGUAUUCUUUAUAUAUAUAUAUAUAUAUAUACGUGAUUUUAUUAAAAAUGAAGGAUGCAA